CUUUUAGGCAUCGGUUUCCAGAUCACAGGGAGUCACAGAGGACCUGGAGGAGAGAAUCCUGUGUGUGCUGGAGAUCCCGAACUGUGGCGGAGGCCCCAGGAGGCAGUGAUGGUGUGGACUCAGCUGCCUCUCCGGGAAGCAGCUGCUGACUGGAUACAGAUGUCCAAGGCCAAUGAGGAAGCCAUGUGUCAAAGAUGGCAGGGGGCAGGGCAUGGUGGCUUACACCAGUAAUCCCAGCACUGUGGAAGGCUGAAGCAGCUGGAUCACUUGAACCCAGGAGUUUGAGACCAGCCUGGGCAACAUAGUGAGACACCAUCUCUACAAAGAAUUUAAAAACUGGGCCAGUCGUGAUGGCUCACGCCUGUAAUCCCAGCACUUUGGGAGGCUGAGGCAGGCAGAUCACAAGGUCAGGAGUUCGAGACCAGCCUGGCCAACACAGUGAAACCCUGUCUCCACUAAAAAAUACAAAAAAUUAGCUGGGCGUGGUGGCAGGCGCCCAUAAUCCCAGCUACU
RNAcentral lists this long non-coding RNA (513 nucleotides) under Homo sapiens (human). RNAcentral's name for it is "HSALNT0390614". The record is from RNAcentral. Lineage: Eukaryota; Metazoa; Chordata; Mammalia; Primates; Hominidae.